GCCAACGCCACUUCCGGCCGCCCUCCGAGCAUCGCUCUUCGGCAACCCGAAGCCACAGGAUGGAGGAGGGGGAUCCCAGCAAAGUGGCUAGAAGUGACCCCAGGAUUUUUUUAUUAUCAAGAGAGACUAGAAGAAUCAUGAGACUUUUCCUAGUUGCCUUUCAAGAAUAUGAAGAAAAAAAUGGUUCUCAAAGUGGGUUUGAAUGAGUAUUGUUCCAAUAAAUGAACUUAUAUUCAUAUUUCAUCCCCUGAGUCCUGGUGUUUCAACAUCCAUUAGAACUGAAUAAUCAUACUGCAUAUCAAAGUUUGUGGGAAAUUGCUAAAGUGUAAAAAAUGCUCAUAUUGAAAAAGAAGAAAAGCUGAAAAUUAAUUGUGCUUCCAACUUUAAAAAAGGACAACAAGCUAAUCCUAAAGAAACUAGAAUAAAAGGAAAAAAUAAACAGAAGUUAAAGAGUAAUUUUAAAAAAUACAAUAGAAAUUAUCAACGAAGCCAAAAGUUGAUUCUUUGAAAAGAUUAAUGAAGUAGGCAAACCACUGGUGAGAUGAAUCAAGAAAAAUAGAGAAAAGACUCAAAUAAACAUUAGGAAUGGAAAAU
Molecule: long non-coding RNA, 594 nt
Filed under: Homo sapiens (human)
Lineage: Eukaryota; Metazoa; Chordata; Mammalia; Primates; Hominidae
Description: HSALNT0353847
Source: RNAcentral